CACGCCCGGGUAAUUUUUGUAUUUUUAGUAGAGACAGGAUUUCACCAUAUUGGCCAGGAGUUCGAGACCAGCCUGGCCAACAUGGUGAAACCCCGUCUCUACUAAAAAUACAAAAAGUAGCUGAGCAUGGUGGCACAUGCCUGUAGUCCCAGCUACUUGGGAGGCUGAGGUGGGAGAAUCACUUGAACCCAGAAGGCGGAGGUUGUAGUGAGCUGAGAUCAUGCCACUGCACUCCAACCUGGGUGACAGAGCGAGACUCCAUCUCAAAAAUAAAUAAAUAAAUAAAUAAAACCUUAAUUUGAUGGUGGUUUUAUGUCUGCCAUUUCCAUUUAGAUUCAAAGAAUCCUAAGAAUAAUGGUGGAGCAAAGCUUAUUUUUCUGUUUUUUGAAUCUUGUAAGGCAUGGUGCCAAACCCAAUAAAUGGUGCCAAAAAGUCCUGCAGCUGGAACUAGAGCUAGAGUCUAAGGGUUCUGAUCCUUAGCUCCAAGGCCUUCUCAUAAAUCCUUUGACACUUUCACCCUCCAACACAGUCAGUCAGUCUCUGUUUUUCUGGUUGGGUUUC
Molecule: long non-coding RNA, 561 nt
Filed under: Homo sapiens (human)
Lineage: Eukaryota; Metazoa; Chordata; Mammalia; Primates; Hominidae
Description: HSALNT0182018
Source: RNAcentral